This 7907-nucleotide long non-coding RNA is filed under the name Coffea arabica (coffee). RNAcentral describes it as "long non-coding RNA (CARA_LNC006463)". Lineage: Eukaryota; Viridiplantae; Streptophyta; Magnoliopsida; Gentianales; Rubiaceae. The record is from RNAcentral.
AGAUGAUUUCUCAGAUGCCCGACUUCAACCACACCAAUUCCAUCAAUCUCUAGAGUGGUUGAUUUCUUACGAUCAUUCAUAAUGAUCAUGAACAUGUCCUGGCUUUUCAUCAAAUCAUGCCAGGUUGCAGCGUACUCAGGAUUGCAAGUAUAAUCAGUGAGUUUUUCCAUUUCGAUAAUCUGCAAUACCCAAUCAACUGACUGCUCCCUUUCUUGGAAACAAGACUUUGGGCAGCUCUUCUGAUUGAAGGUUGAAGUUGUGGGUAGUUUUCAGAGUGCGUCAUCAAGACAGGAACUAACACCCUUGUAAGUACUCCCAAAACUUGUUCACAAACUCAUCUGGUGUAGCAGAAACGGCCCUGACCUUUUUUGCAGUGAGAUGAGAAAAACACUACGAGGAAGGAAAUUAGGUAAGUUUAUACCUUUAGCUUCCUCCAGGAUGCUAAUCUCUUCCACCAAGAAGGUCUGCUUUUGUUCACUUUGGAUAGAGAUGGACUGCAAAUUCUCAGAGUAAGCGCUCAGCAUCUCUGCCAGUCUAGCAGUACAAUGCAUUUCCUUUUCAUCUGGAUACUCAUCGAAUUCCCUCUGAUAAAUAUUUUCCUCAGGGACUCUUUGGCAGAAGAUAUGAUACGCAUAAAAGCAGUGACUGCUUCAGGAACCGAUUUCAACUGUAGUGGCAACUUGUUCAGCUCUGCAACACUUGCAGUUAGCUUGUCAUUGAUCUUUCUCACAAUAUCUGGCAAGCAUUUUGAAAUUAUGGUUGCCUGAAUUUGCACCAGUUUCUGGGCUAAAACAGGAAUGCCAACGAUAGACUUGUGGAUCUUGGACAGCAACGGAUGUGUUUCAAAAAGCAUAGCUUCUACAGCUCGAGCUUCCUCGUAUGAUUCAUCGCCAAUUCGAUUUCUCACACAGACGUAUCAAGUCCAAUAUUCACAUCAUCAGCCGUUACCUUCUCGAGCAAGCCUUCAGGGGAUUUGUCGGCCUUUGUGACAACUGCCAGAGUUCUUUCGCCUGUUUUGUCGACUUUUUGGGACAUCCGAAUUGAUUCACAAGUCGAAAAAUCAACAGUAGCUGAUAAAACAUUGAGUAUUAUGCUUUCUUCUGGCUUGAUAUACUCCAUGAUAAUUGCCGAUAUUUGCUCGUAGAUGUCUUCCGGCUGCCCAUGAACUGGAACUCUAGUAAUCCCAGGUAAAUCUACCAUAGUAAGAUCAGGGACACCAUUUUUUUUAACAGUCAAAGUCAAGGGAACAUUUGAUAUUCCCUUACUUUUGCCAGCAAUCUCAUCAGUUGCAACCCUGAUGGCCUCAGCAAUAUGGACCUCAUCGGUUGGAACAAUUGUUCCGUUGAACUCCAAGCUCAGCUCUGGCACGGGACUGGGAUGACUUUGCAGCCUCAUAAUCAAGGAACCCUUGUGCAUAUCCCUUGUCCCCUAGGCAGGCUAAUUCCAGCCAAGGACUCUAGAACGCUGGACUUACCUGAAGAUUGAUCUCCAACAACAACAAUUGUUGGAAGCUGGAUUCCUUCUUGCAUGACUUUAAGGUUUCGUAGCCUGUCUACGCAGUCCAGUAAUGGCCUAAUGCGUUCAUUAUAGGAUGAUACGAUGGGGGCUUGGAUUGCUAGUGGAUCUAUAUGAUCAUGAGCAGCUUCAAUGAGGGCUUUGGUGAUUUCUUCAGAAACAAAAUCGGAGUCAUUGAUUACUGCACCCAUGUUUCUUGUGGCCGUUGGUAUUCAGAGUUUCUACUAUAAUGUCGCAGGUAAGGAUAUCGGGAACUCGGGAGGGAGAAAGGUGAUGAUAGAGCAAGAGAUUUUCAGGUUUGGUGACAGCAAAUGUGGAUUUGUGGAUGAAUUUAUAGGUGAUUUCUGAUCUGAUGUUGAUCUCAGCACUCUCUCUUUUCUCGCAUACUUCUUUUUCUUUUCCUUUUGGUACUGCUUUUGUUGGGACAACAGCAUAGUUGCACGAAAUUUACUUGCCCUGCACUAAUGCUAGAAAUUGGAUAUGAACAAACACAAACAUUUCAUUCUGCUUUUCCUCUGAAAACUAAUCGUGUUCUAUGCUGUAAUUAUUUUGCAAAGUUUGCAAAACGAUUGAUAAAAUUUUUAGAGUACUAAUGGCAACACGCUGUAUAAUUGUGUAAAUUGGUUUUUAUUCGGCAACUGUACAUUAAACAAAUUCUUGUCUUUAAUUUCUAGGGCUAAAUGCAAACAAGAGGAUGCAUAGAAUCAUAUACAAUCUUGCAUAGAACAAUAAUUGCAUGCAUAUAUUAUAGGUAAGCCUUUAGAUUUGUUCCACUCAAAUAUUUUAUAUGUGAUCCUUCUAGUUACUUAAUUAGAGGGCAUAGAUUCUUGUGCUAUCUUUUGAAGUGGUUCGAUUACAAAAUGCAAAUGGCUAGCUCAUGGUCCUUGAUUUACAAAGUGGAAUCUGACGCUUGACUUCCUUUUCUCCUGUCCCUUGUCAUCAGAAAAGCAAAUCCAUCGCUCAAGAAGGAAAAUUAGCUAGAACCCUUCAAUGAUCGUCAAUUAAUUAGUGUUUAAAGAUGUAAUUACUAGUUAUUACAUCAGAAUCAUAUUAUCCGAAGACUUCCAAGGUAAAAUUGCUUAUUUUACUUCAAGUUUAGGUCAUCCUCGUGCUUCACCAUUACGCAAGGGAUCCUCUGCAUCAUGGGAUCAUCCACUAAUGAAGUGUACUGUUGUUUGUUUUGGUGGAAACACAGAAGUGGGAUCAAUUUGUCUGAUCCAUCUCCUUCUUUCAGAACAGAAGCAGGAUCAAUAGCUUAAGAAUUAAGAAAACCCACGACGAAGGAAAGAUUUCGAUCGUACAUAGGUUGGUAAACAUGGCUGGCACGAAAAAGCGAUACAGUAUAUAAAAUUUGACUUCAAAAGCUUGCCCCGCUCUUUCGCCCCACCAUCCAAGGUAGCUAUAACACCUUUUAGGGGGGAAAUUAAUGACAGAAGGAAAAGAUGAAAGGAAAAUUGAACUUCCAAAUGCAACUAUUGUUAAGGGUUAGAGGCACUAAGCACCCUAACUUUGGAGAUAUUUUCACAUUUUUCUUUAACGUUAUUUUUGUUGUAUGUGCCCCUUCUAUUAAGUCACGUCAACUUUUAUCAUUAUUAAAAGGAAAAAGGUCAAAAGUUUCAAUCUUGCCCUUAUCUCCAUUUCCCUUCAUUUUUCUUUUACUUGUCUAAGUUUCUCAUUUCACACCUUUUUCGUAGGUGCAAUUUUUUUUUUUUGGAAAAUUAAGAAUAUGUUUCCAAAAUAUUCCACUUCUAUUUUUUUUUUUUAAAUCUACCAAUAUUAAGCAAACACAAAACUUUGCUAUUGUUAAAAAUAUUGCUCAUUGAUUAUGAACAUCAAUCAAUGGAGGUAAGAUACAAUUGUGGUAAGAUAUCUCUCAAAUACGGGUUAGUGAAAAUAUAAAAAUUUCGACUAAAAAUUUUCUUGUUAAAAUUACAUAGCAUUAUAUUUUUGUAUCUAUUUUAUGAUUUUAUUUUAAAUUUUACGACAGAUUUCAAUGGCAUGUAAUUUUUUAAAAAAGGGGUUGGAACUCGUUUUAAGGACAUUCUACCGAAACAAAAGGAUCGGAUCUUUUUUUCAAGCGUUGUUGUUUCUACACUAAUUUUUACUUUGAAAUCAUUAUUGUCUUUUUUGAUAAACUGUUACUGUUGACCAUUAGUUAAAGGGAGAAAUUACAAUAAAAACAUCCUUAGAGAAAAAAGUGCAAAUGGCAACAAACCUUAGGAGGUUAAGUGCCUGUAACCCUAAGAUUAAUUCUAGUGUUUGAUACUGCUUUGUGACUGCGAACUUGCUACUAUGGAGUUUGCUUUUGUCGAAAUGGGAAGGAAAUUGGAGGGCUAAGUUUUGUUCUGAACUAGACACAAAGUUCUUUAAUUACAUUUUUUUUAACCUUUUACUUCUCUGCAGAUCCUUCUCACUCCCAACUAUCAAUAUUCUUUAAUACUCCCUCCCUUUUUUUAUAACUAACGUUUAAAAAAUUUGCUCUAGUGUACUUUUAUCUGUCGUUUUAUUAUCCAUACAGUAUACAGUAUUAAUUAUUUUUUCACAAUUUUACCCUUUUAUCUCUCUUUUCCAAUACAGGGUUCUUAAUUACUACUCCUAAUAAUAGUUUGGUGAGAGUUAGUUUGCAUUGCUUUUGGCCUAGUAAAACAAUACCAUUUAGUACUCGAGUGAGAGAAAAUAUGGGUGAAUUGGAUAAUUAAUGAGGGUACAAAAGGAAAGUAGUGUACAGAUUCAAGCAAUGAAAAACUUUUCUUAAUUGGUGUGUAAAACCUUAAAUGUCAGUUAUAAAAAAAGGGAGAGAGUAACACAGUAGUAACAUACUUUCACUUUUACGUGUCUAUGACUAUAACUCUUCUGUUUUUGGACCAUAUUUCUAUGAUUAAAUGGAGUAACGGUUUAUGCCCCCUCAUAAAAAUUUCGAGACUGUCUUCCCAAGUCUUCCUUUAUGGUCAUCUUCUUAUUCUUGAAUUUUCACUCGCAUUAUUAUUUUCUCGUCGCUUGUUUCCCAAGUCUUUCCUUUGUCGUCGUCUUCUUUUCUUUUUCACAUCGUUUCCUUUCAGCUCUUGUCAGUAAUGUGUAAUCGCCAAUGAGAAUUGUUACCUUGGAGAGCAAGUGUCAAAAAAUAAGGAAAGAAAUAUCUUCAAAUCUUGUGAUUACGACUUUAAUAGCAUGGUACUAUAUCUGGUGGUUUUUCUCGUUUGAAUUAACUCGGAAAAAGAAAAUUAUUGACUCGUUAACUUCAUGGCUAGUCCAGUCAAGCACGGACAAAUUUACAGAUCUUUGGGCAAACUUUGGCAUUCUUGAUUGGAUUGAAGUUUUUUUGCAGAAAAGCUUUUACGUGAUCGCAUUUCUCAAAUACCCUUUUAUUUCACAUAUAUAAAAUUGUUAUAGUAUAUAUUUUUAUAAAAAAUACAUUUAUGUAUAUAAAAAGACAAUCCAAACGAGUACUUGCGUAGACUAAUUGUCUAACUUCCUCAAAUUUGUGUGUACUUGAUUGGCGGAUUUGUUAUUGUAUCAAAAGAUUGGAUGAACACAAUUACGAAGUGUAUGGAAACAAAGCUCACGGUCAAGGACAAAAUAAUCAGUUAAUUGCAAUGAAAGUAUAGACGACUCCUCCUUCAAGACACAACAAUAAUAUUCCCUUGAGUCCUACCCUUUGUAUAAAUAGGCCGCAAACAAUUCCAACUACUGUGCGAGCAGUUCGAGCCUUACUCGUAAUAUCAAGCUCGAGUUGACCAAAUCGAACUCGAGUUCAAAGUUUGAGUUCAAGAUACUCAAUUCAUUUGCUCACGAGUUGACUCGAAUAUAUACAUAUAUGGUGUGUAUAUAUAUAUUAUUUAAUAGUAAAAUUACGUAUAUAUCCUUAAUAUUUUAUUAUUUGUUAAAAAAUUAUUAUUUUAUUCAUUUAUUGAAAAAUAAAAUAAUAAUUAUUUUUUAUUUUUUUUAACUUGAACUCAAACUUUACAUUGAGAGCUCGUCGAGUUUGAGUUUAAUAAAACUAAGUCGAGAUUGAAUUGAUUAGACCAAAAUUCUAUUUGACUCGGCUCAACUUGUUUGUAUUGUAGAUAAGUUGAUAAAACCAGUCAUUAGAUAGUCAAAUAAGUUGUAAAAGAUUGUUCACUGUGUAAUAGUUCAAGAAUGCCUCGCAAUCAGAAACAAAUAGAAUUAUUUAUGUUUCAACCCUUUUUUUAACUGGCUUCUGAUACAAAACUACAAAUGGAAGUUAUUGAGAGCAAAAGAAUGAGAAUGGGGGAACCCUCCAUUAACUUAAACAACGGCCUUUUGGACCGUUGGCCACACAAAGGCUUCUCAUUCUUUCUGAAAUGGGAGGUCAAGGUUUGAACUUACUUCCAUUAUUUGUCACUUUAUGUGACUUCCCAAAUUCAGUCGGUGGACUAUGUUUAUAUGUACGUCGAUUCGACUCCUGCUCCAGUUAAAAGCAUCCAAUCCGACCAGAGGUGUAUUUACUUCGAGACAUUUGUAAAUUGGAAACUUUGGAAGACUGGGACAAUCGGCACACGGGAAACUUGAAGUCCUCCGUCCUCAACGAACAGGAGAGUUCAAUCCGGAACCUUAUGAUCAUCUAAUCAAUGCUCCUAAGCCUGUCCGGUUAACAAAGUUCUCUCAGAAAGAAAGAAAAUUCAUCAUAACAAACUGGAUUGGGCUCCUCUCCGUACUCAUUCCUUCUGUUUUUCCUUAUCCAUCGUUUGGUAGUACGCAGAAAUAUCCAAAAUUAACAAGUUUUUCUAGCCAAAAUGUUAACGACUCACAAGAAUCUGCAGCAAUUUCCUUGAUUGUCAAUUAACCUUGACGACAAUAAAGAUGUGAAUUAAUGACUUGCAAGAAUCUGCAGCAAUUUCCUGAAUUGCAAUUUAACCUUGAUGACAGCAGUGAUAACAUGUCACGUCAAACUAAAGCAGCGUACAACAGUAAGCAUUGAGAUCCUCUACCGUCACAGUAGUAAAUGCAAAGUGCAGUUAAAGGUAGGAAAUGGGGUAUUUUGAAAUUGAAUGGAGGAGAUUAAAUGUAAAACGCUAAUUUUAAUGUGUCAAAAAAGUUUAUUGCGUCAUUUUACUUUAUUGUAUUAUCGUCCGUAUUUGUUGUGUUAGUAUCUACAUCAAUUAUGUCAUUAUUGUCUAUACUGUAUUGGUAGUCAAUACGAAUGACAGCACAAUCCCCUGAUGGCAAUAGUACAGAGUGUAUUCAAUUUCAAAAACCAGCUUGAAUAUCAGCCAAUAUUCAUGAAUGUGUAUCAGCUUGUAUAGCAUAAAAACUUGCAGUAACCAGCUAAACAUUCAUGAAUUUAAAAAAAGAAUGAAGAAAAAAGAACAAAACAAACAAGAGGGCUCCCAUUGCAAUCGAAAACAUGACCGGAAAAGGCAUAAAGAAGGAAUGAAUCAGGAAAAAGAAGAAUGAGUGAUAGCAGUAUUUGCUGAUCAGAUGGCUAUAAUGCUCCUUGCAGUCCUACCUGAAAAAAGUGCAUCAAGCAGAAUUGAACUUAUAAUAGUAGUUAUCAGUUACUGGUCUGCGGCUGAUGAAAGUAGACAAGAUUUUAUGAGAGGGGCAGGGAACCCCUUAUCAGCUAUGACACGGGUUGGAAUAGGACUGAAUGGGAAGUUGCGGACAAACAGAUCCAGUCACAUUUAGUUCCUUGUAGUAUGGUUUAGCUAGAAAAGCCCGUCUGCAUAUACCGUAAAAGCUUUUUUAAUGCUAGCACGAAUGCUCCGCUCCACUCAAGUUUUAUUGGUAACACAAAAUAGCAAAUUUAAAAAAAAAAAAAAAACAACAAAGCAAUAGUACUUUUACGAUUUUUCAAAUGGCGAAGUAAACAAAGGGUAUUAUGACCAAUCAAUCAGCAUAAGCAGCAAUUUUGUCCAUUAUCUCUGCAACAAUCUCUUUAGACUCCCUCAGCAACUUGAUGCUUCCAUUCAAUCUGUAACGUUUACCAGCAAUAGGUGGAGAUUCCUCCAGCAUCCGUUCCAAUGCACCCCGUGAGUUCCCAUUAACUCAUUCACCAUUUCGGUUUCCAUGUCUUUGUUCACCAGAUUUUGGAUGCUGAAGAGUAAAUGCAAAGCCAUGCUAUCAACCAACCUCCUCAGGACAAUCUUCCAAUAAGCAGUCAUCCUCAUUUUCAGAUCAAAAGCUUCUUGUGCAACGACCAGAUGAUUUCUCAGAUGCCCGACUUCAACCUCACCAAUUCCAUUAAUCUCUAGAGUUGUUGAUUUCGUACAAUCAUUACAACGAUCAUUGAUAAUGUCCAUGAACCUGUCCUGGCUUUCCAUCAGAUCAUGCCAGGUUGCAGAGUACUCAGGAUUACAAGUAUAAUCGGUGAGUUUCUCCAUUUCGAUGAUCUGCGAUACCCAAUCAGCUGACUGCUCCCUUUUUUUGGAAAC